RNAcentral lists this ribosomal RNA (498 nucleotides) under uncultured microorganism. RNAcentral's name for it is "bacterial SSU rRNA". It matches the Rfam family "Bacterial small subunit ribosomal RNA", at positions 9 to 489 of the family's 1533-position model. The record is from RNAcentral.
GAGUUUGAUCAUGGCUCAGGAUGAACGCUGGCGGCGUGCCUAAUACAUGCAAGUCGAGCGAACGGACGAGAAGCUUGCUUCUCUGAUGUUAGCGGCGGACGGGCGAGUAACACGUGGAUAACCUACCUAUAAGACUGGGAUAACUUCGGGAAACCGGAGCUAAUACCGGAUAAUAUUUUGAACCGCAUGGUUCAAAAGUGAAAGACGGUCUUGCUGUCACUUAUAGAUGGAUCCGCGCUGCAUUAGCUAGUUGGUAAGGUAACGGCUUACCAAGGCAACGAUGCAUAGCCGACCUGAGAGGGUGAUCGGCCACACUGGAACUGAGACACGGUCCAGACUCCUACGGGAGGCAGCAGUAGGGAAUCUUCCGCAAUGGGCGAAAGCCUGACGGAGCAACGCCGCGUGAGUGAUGAAGGUCUUCGGAUCGUAAAACUCUGUUAUUAGGGAAGAACAUAUGUGUAAGUAACUGUGCACAUCUUGACGGUACCUAAUCAGAAA